Non-coding RNA from Pelobates cultripes (western spadefoot toad), 970 nucleotides. The record is from the annotation of a GenBank genome assembly. Lineage: Eukaryota; Metazoa; Chordata; Amphibia; Anura; Pelobatidae.
CCAGUGGGGUACCUCAGGGAUCUGUACUUGGACCCAUUCUCUUUAAUAUUUUUUAUUAGUGAUACUGCAGAUUGAUGGUGCUGAUGAUACUAAGAUAUGUAACAGGGUUGAUGUUCCAGGAGGGAUAAGCCAAAUGGCAAAUGAUUUAGGUAAACUAGAAAAAUGUCAGAGUUGUGACAACUGACAUUUAAUGUGGAUAAAUGCAAGAUAAUGUAUCUUGGACGUAAAAACCCAAGGGCAGAGUACAAAAUAUUUGUUAAAGUCCUAACCUCAACAUCUGAGGAAAGGGAUUUAGGGGUGAUUAUUUCUGAUGACUUAAAGGUAGGCAGACAAUGUAAUAGAGAAGCAGGAAAUGCUAGCAGAAUGCUUGGUUGUAUAGGGAGAGGCAUUAGCAGUAGAAAGAGGGAAGUGCUCAUGCCAUUGUACAGAACAGUGGUGAGACCUCACUUGGAGCAUUGUACGCAGUACUGGAGACCGUAUCUUCAGAUGGAUAUUUAGAGAGAGUUCAGAGAAGGGCUACUAAACUGGUUCAUGGAUUGCAGGAUAAAACUUACCAGGAAAGAUUAAAGGAUCUUAACAUGUAUAGCUUGGAGGAAAUACGAGACGGGGGGAUAUGACAGAAACAUUUAAAUACAUAAAGGGAAUCAACACAGUAAAGGAGGAGACCAUAUUUAAAAGAAGAAAAACUACCACAACAAGAGGACAUAGUCUUAAAUUAGAGCGGCAAAGGUUUAAAAAUAAUAUCAGGAAGUAUUACUUUACUGAGAGGGUAGUGGAUGCAUUUUCAGCUGAAAUGGUAGAGGUUAACACAGUAAAGGAGUUUAAGCAUGUGUAAUGAUAUUGAUGUUACAAAGUUUUGGAGUCCAGUAGCCAGAUCAGCAAUGUUUUCUGCCAGAGGUAGCCACUCGUUACCCAGGUGGUUGAGCCGCUGAGCCUUGAGUGGCCUUCUGGUCUUAAGCAGAGAUGGGAG